RNAcentral lists this ribosomal RNA (444 nucleotides) under uncultured bacterium. Its description in RNAcentral is "partial 16S ribosomal RNA". It matches the Rfam family "Bacterial small subunit ribosomal RNA", at positions 338 to 795 of the family's 1533-position model. The record is from RNAcentral.
CCUACGGGUGGCAGCAGUGGGGAAUAUUGGGCAAUGGAGGCAACUCUUACCCAGCACUGCCGCGUGAAUGAAGAAGGUCUUCGGAUUGUAAAGUUCUUUAGUUAGGGACGAAAAAAAUGACGGUACCUGAAGAAUAAGCUCCGGCUAACUACGUGCCAGCAGCCGCGGUAAUACGUAGGGAGCAAGCGUUGUUCGGAAUGACUGGGCGUAAAGGGUGCGUAGGCGGUUAUACAAGUUAGAAGUGAAAUACCUAGAGCUUAACUCAGGUGCUGCUUCUAAAACUGUAAGACUUGAGUGCAGUAGAGGUUAGUGGAAUUCCUAGUGUAGCGGUGGAAUGCGUAGAUAUUAGGAGGAACAGCAGAGGCGAAGGCGACUAACUGGACUGUAACUGACGCUGAGGCACGAAAGUGUGGGGAGCAAACAGGAUUAGAUGCCCCGGUAGUC